GACGAACGCUGGCGGCGUGCUUAACACAUGCCAGUCGAACGAGAGCGUAGAGAAAGCUUGCUUUUUCUACAAUCUAGUGGCAAACGGGUGAGUAACGCGUAAACAACCUGCCCUACGGAUGGGGACAACAGCUGGAAACGGCUGCUAAUACCGAAUACGUUCCGAAAGUCGCAUGACUAUCGGAAGAAAGGAUGGCCUCUAUUUAUAAGCUAUCGCCGGAGGAGGGGUUUGCGUCUGAUUAGCUAGUUGGAGGGGUAACGGCCCACCAAGGCGACGAUCAGUAGCCGGUCUGAGAGGAUGAACGGCCACAUUGGAACUGAGACACGGUCCAGACUCCUACGGGAGGCAGCAGUGGGGAAUCUUCCGCAAUGGGCGAAAGCCUGGCGGAGCAACGCCGCGUGAGUGAAGACGGCCUUCGGGUUGUAAAGCUCUGUUAUACGGGACGAAUAAUCUUGUGGUUAAUACCCAUGAGAAGUGACGGUACCGUAAGAGAAAGCCACGGCUAACUACGUG
Molecule: ribosomal RNA, 513 nt
Filed under: uncultured bacterium
Lineage: Bacteria
Description: partial 16S ribosomal RNA
Rfam family: Bacterial small subunit ribosomal RNA
Source: RNAcentral